Vidua macroura (Pin-tailed whydah) is the source of this 1699-nucleotide long non-coding RNA. RefSeq lists it as uncharacterized. The record is from RefSeq and is a predicted model, not a curated record. The transcript has 4 exons. NCBI's taxonomy places the organism in Eukaryota, Metazoa, Chordata, Aves, Passeriformes, Viduidae.
GAGUGUCUGGCCUGGAUCACAGCUGCCUCUUGGACCACUUGAGCCAGGCAGGGAUGGAUUCUUCUGCCUUGGACCCAUGGAGACCUCUGGAUGGUUCCAAGGACAGCAGCAGGGGGAUGUCAAGGACCUCCAAGAAAGGCCAAUCCCUUUGGCUUUGAGGACACCACACAAUUUCUGCUUGUCGCCUUUCUUCGCUCCUUUUUAUUUGGCCGUUAAAAAAGUAAUUUUGUCACUCAAUGCACUUUCAAUCCAGUAAAUUGUAGGAGAAGGCAAUUGCACUGGAGGCCUAGCUGGAAGGAAGGAGAGAUAUUUGCUUAAUACAUGCUUAACUGGCAAUCAUCUUGGCAGUGUCUUAGCCCUGCUGCAGUCAAGGUGGCUUUCAUCACUGGAGGUCAUCCAGGCAUGGCUUUCUCUCCUGUGAAAGUGCUCAGGUCAUUUGUUAGUGACAACAGGAGACGGAUCUUUUGGUGAUGUAAAUCAAUGUCACAUCAAAGCUUCCAUGGAGCGAUACUUAUUUACACCUUCAGAUACCAGAUCCUUAUGUUUUGCUUUUAUGUGGAGGAGAGAUCAGAAACUGCUCUGGUUUCCUGUGCACCUUAAUUUGAAAAGCAAUAGAAAGAGAGCUGAGAAGGAAAUGAGCAAACACAGCGAGGGUCAGGAAGAUCUCAGGGUCACUUUUGUGAGCUCUCCGUGGACCUUGAUGCCCAGGCAGCGGCUUCCAUCCCAAACAGGAUGCAAGGAGAGGAGACAAACCUGGACAAGACUGAGACAGGCCAUUGACUAGUUAAUGAGAAGGCAAAAUACCCUAAAAGUGAGAGACUGAGGGAAGAAAAGAGUAGCUUGAUUUUGGCUGGCUGCUGGGGAAAGGCAGGAGGAGCCAGUUUUUGUGACACUUCUCAUCUUCGGCCAGCAGGAGAAGCUCCACUGGCACCAUCCACACAGCCCUGAGGAAGGGAAAAUGGCAAUUUGACUGUCCUACCCUAGGACAAAACCUGCAGAGCUUUUGCCUUGUGUUUUCUGACCCAUUCCUGGAUUGCACUUUCAGGCCAAAUCUGAUUCAAGUUCCUGGAAAAAAGGGCUGUUUGCUGAUUUCUGAAAGUGGAGUAAUCCCACUAGGAAAGACUGAGAGAAUCUACUCUCUUGUAGCAAGGGAGAGGCUUCUUUGGGAUGCCAGUGGAGUCUUCAGUAUUCCUGGUUUAUUAAUUAUUCUGUUUGGGGAGCAAAAAGGGAGAUGAGAAAUUUCUCCAAAUGAGAGCUUAUCAAAAUGGUUUUAUUUCUGGCAAGGCUGAUAUAUCCAAGGAGCUAAACAUACUUCUAAUAUUUUGUCAAAGCCUUCUGCACCACUCAAGCCCAGGGAUGUUUCAAACUGAUUUCCACACAAAGAAGAUGUUUCCCAUUAAAUAGGAAUGCUUGCCUUGAAAAUAAAUAUCUCCCUGCCAUGGGAGAGUUAUGGUGGGAUGGCUCAUGGAAGAGCAGGAAAAGCUUACAACCAUCCCAGUUAUCAGGUGCAGGCAGGGCUGACUGUUUUGGGGAGAGAUCUCAGCUUUCUGGGACCAGCCUUCCUCUGUCCAGAGGCAGGGACUGGGCAGGCUCAGCACCUUUUUUGCAUCACUGGGGGGGUUUGACAACUUGUAUGUUUGCAAAGUUUGUUGUUAUUUUUUGUGUUCAGAAAUCCGAAGCUCUGUAGGGGGGAGUUCUA